UCAAGUUGGUUCUAUUUAUGGAGGUGAAUGUGUGUGUGUAAACAUCUCGUAGAUGAGACUGCCUGGGUUAUUUUGUUUGUUUUAUAACACAUAG
Alosa sapidissima (American shad) is the source of this 94-nucleotide long non-coding RNA. RefSeq lists it as uncharacterized. The record is from RefSeq and is a predicted model, not a curated record. The transcript has 3 exons. Lineage: Eukaryota; Metazoa; Chordata; Actinopteri; Clupeiformes; Clupeidae.